GCGAGAGUGGCGGAAUGGCAGACGCGCUAGACUUAGGAUCUAGUGGGCAACCCCCGUGAGGGUUCGACUCCCUCCUCUCGCACCA
Molecule: transfer RNA, 85 nt
Filed under: Bacillota bacterium
Lineage: Bacteria; Bacillati; Bacillota
Description: Firmicutes bacterium (anaerobic digester metagenome) tRNA-Leu
Rfam family: tRNA
About the family: Transfer RNA (tRNA) molecules are approximately 80 nucleotides in length. Their secondary structure includes four short double-helical elements and three loops (D, anti-codon, and T loops). Further hydrogen bonds mediate the characteristic L-shaped molecular structure. tRNAs have two regions of fundamental functional importance: the anti-codon, which is responsible for specific mRNA codon recognition, and the 3' end, to which the tRNAs corresponding amino acid is attached (by aminoacyl-tRNA synthetases). tRNAs cope with the degeneracy of the genetic code in two manners: having more than one tRNA (with a specific anti-codon) for a particular amino acid; and 'wobble' base-pairing, i.e. permitting non-standard base-pairing at the 3rd anti-codon position.
Source: RNAcentral